This 77-nucleotide transfer RNA is filed under the name Deltaproteobacteria bacterium. RNAcentral describes it as "tRNA-Arg". It matches the Rfam family "tRNA". From Rfam's summary of the family: Transfer RNA (tRNA) molecules are approximately 80 nucleotides in length. Their secondary structure includes four short double-helical elements and three loops (D, anti-codon, and T loops). RNAcentral also lists the same sequence under 1 other name. Lineage: Bacteria; Pseudomonadati; Myxococcota; Myxococcia. The record is from RNAcentral.
GCGCCCGUAGCUCAGUUGGAAAGAGCGUCGGACUUCGAAUCCGCAGGUCGGGCGUUCGAGUCGCCCCGGGCGUGCCA